This 679-nucleotide ribosomal RNA is filed under the name uncultured bacterium. RNAcentral describes it as "bacterial SSU rRNA". It matches the Rfam family "Bacterial small subunit ribosomal RNA", at positions 1 to 686 of the family's 1533-position model. The record is from RNAcentral.
UACGCGAAUUGAAUCCGCCAGUGCAGAAAAGUGGGUUAACACAUGCAAGUCUAACGAACGACUAUUAACCCUUUUCUUUCGGGGCGAAGAUGAUAGAAGUUAGGGGCGGACGGGUGCGUAACGCGUGGGUAAUCUGCCUUUGUCAAAGGAAUAACUAUUCGAAAGAAUAGCUAAAACCGUAUAACAUAUCAAUAGGGCAUCCUGAUGAUAUCAAAACGAUAGUGGACAAAGAUGAGCCCGCGUCUGAUUAGCUAGUUGGUGAGAUAAAAGCUCACCAAGGCGACGAUCAGUACCCGACCUGAGAGGGUGAACGGCCACAUUGGAACUGAGACCCGGUCCAAACUCCUACGGGAGGCAGCAGUGGGGAAUAUUGCACAAUGGGGGGAACCCUGAUGCAACAACGCCGCGUGAGUGAAGAAGGCAUUCGUGUCGUAAUACUCUGUAGUAGGGGAAGAAAAAAAAUGACAGUACCCUAUAGUAAAGCCCCGGCUAACUACGUGCCAGCAGCCGCGGUAAUACGUAAGGGGCAUGCGUUAUCCGGAAUAACUGGUCGUAUAGGGUGCGCAGGUGGUUUAACAAGUUAUGUGGUGAAGGGCAUAGGCUCAACCAAUGUAAGCCAUUAAAACUGUUUAACUUGAGUGCAGGAGAGGAAAGUGUAAUUCCUAGUAUAGCGGUGAAA